This is a long non-coding RNA of Poeciliopsis prolifica (blackstripe livebearer), 1289 nucleotides long. RefSeq lists it as uncharacterized. The transcript is spliced from 2 exons. The record is from RefSeq and is a predicted model, not a curated record. NCBI's taxonomy places the organism in Eukaryota, Metazoa, Chordata, Actinopteri, Cyprinodontiformes, Poeciliidae.
UGGACAUAUUGUCACACAUGAAUGAGUUGAACGUUAAACUGCAGGGGAAAGAUCAGUUUGUGCACGACAUGUACACAAAUGUGAGAACCUUCAAAUCUAAGCUGAUUUUAUUCUCCAGGCAAAUGUCAAACAAAUCUUUCGCUCAUUUUCCCACACUGGCCAUGCAGAAGGCCACCCGAAACGUGAAGAAAUACUGCAGAUCACUGGACGACAUGCACAGAGAAUUCUGCCGUCGGUUCACUGAUUUUGAAAAAAUUGAAAAGUCACUUCAGCUGGUUUCCUGUCCCCUGUCACAAGACCCUGAAACAGCACCGCAUGAGCUGCAAUUGGAGCUGAUCGAUCUCCAGUCUGACUCCGUCUCAAAAGAGAAGUUCAGAUCUCUUAAACUGAAUGACUUUUAUGCUUCACUUAACGAAGCCACAUUUCCAAACCUCCAGAGGAUGGCACAGAAGAUGCUGGUAUUGUUUGGCUCGACCUACGUGUGUGAGCAGACUUUCAGCGUCAUGAACAUCAACAAAGCCUGUCACAGAUUCCGGUUAACUGACCAACACCUCAGAUCGAUUCUGAGAAUUGCCACAAUGAAACUAACUCCAGACUUUGAUGCACUGGCAAACAAGGGAGAACAACACUGUUCCCACUGAGAUAGCCCAAAUGAAGAGAAAAGGGAAUAUCUCCCAGUUCUUCUUAAAGAGGCAAAAACCAGACCAGAUCCAGACAGAACCCUGCAGCAGUGACCAGGACCAGACAGAACCUGCAGCAGUGACCAGGACCAGACAGAACCCUGCAGCAGUGACCAGGACCAGACAGAACCCUGCAGCAGUGACCAGGACCAGACAGAACCCUGCAGCAGUGACCAACCUGGAGAAUCCAGCCAGGAGACUCCAGGCCCAAGUGUAUCACCAGCAGGUUAGAGGCUGUGACAGAGAGUUAAGUAUUAAAAUCCAAUAAGCCUAAUUCUAAAGGUUAGCAUGAUGCUUUUGCAUUUUUUAUUGUGUCUGUUUAUGCAUUUCCAAUUAAGUUCCAGAGAGAGAUGAGGGUGAUACAGAUUCAGAGUCAGACUCUGGGGAGGAAGACAGUGAAGCAGAAGGAAAUGGCACUGAACUGCUCCACCCAGCACAACCUAUUGCACACCAGAAGCACCAGUUUAUUUAUUUAUUUAUUUUUGAGAAUUUGUUUUUGGUCAUAUUCUGGGCUCUGAGUUUACAUUUACAUGUUCACUGUUCCAUAGUGCCGUUUAACGUCUUGUUUGGUCAUGGCAAAUCUUAGUUAAAUAAACCAUUUUAAUUUGA